This 105-nucleotide transfer RNA is filed under the name Moniliophthora perniciosa FA553. It matches the Rfam family "tRNA". Rfam says of the family: Transfer RNA (tRNA) molecules are approximately 80 nucleotides in length. Their secondary structure includes four short double-helical elements and three loops (D, anti-codon, and T loops). Lineage: Eukaryota; Fungi; Basidiomycota; Agaricomycetes; Agaricales; Marasmiaceae. The record is from Rfam by way of RNAcentral.
GGCGAGAUGGCCGAGCGGUCUAAGGCGCUAGAAUCAGGUCGGAACUAUCUGUCCAAUCUGCCUAUCUAGUCCGAAAGGGCGUGGGUUCGAAUCCCACUCUCGUCA